Molecule: ribosomal RNA, 497 nt
Filed under: uncultured bacterium
Lineage: Bacteria
Description: partial 16S ribosomal RNA
Rfam family: Bacterial small subunit ribosomal RNA
Source: RNAcentral
GAUGAACGCUGGCGGCGUGCCUAAUACAUGCAAGUCGAGCGAACAGACGAGGAGCUUGCUCCUCUGACGUUAGCGGCGGACGGGUGAGUAACACGUGGAUAACCUACCUAUAAGACUGGGAUAACUUCGGGAAACCGGAGCUAAUACCGGAUAAUAUAUUGAACCGCAUGGUUCAAUAGUGAAAGACGGUUUUGCUGUCACUUAUAGAUGGAUCCGCGCCGCAUUAGCUAGUUGGUAAGGUAACGGCUUACCAAGGCAACGAUGCGUAGCCGACCUGAGAGGGUGGUCGGCCGCACUGGAACUGAGACACGGUCCAGACUCCUACGGGAGGCAGCAGUAGGGAAUCUUCCGCAAUGGGCGAAAGCCUGACGGAGCAACGCCGCGUGAGUGAUGAAGGUCUUCGGAUCGUAAAACUCUGUUAUUAGGGAAGAACAAAUGUGUAAGUAACUAUGCACGUCUUGACGGUACCUAAUCAGAAAGCCACGGCUAACUACGUG